CGGCCGCCGGUGCCCCCUCCCCGGCCCGCCCGCGCCGGCUGCCCACACUUACAGGCUUGCUGAGGGGAAGGAGCCCGGCUGCCAAGGGAAACUGCCUUUGCAGCACGCCUGGUGUUGAAAGCUCUUGAGCUGUCCCUCGCCCAGCGCCCCACGUCUUGUCAGAGGUUUCCGCUCCUUAUCAUGCAAAAACUGGCCUUCGCAUUGCUCUUCUGUGGCCGAGUAUGCCAAAGCCAAUGAUGAGGGAAAGGUGAGGACGCCGAUUUCUUAAAACCUUUUUGUUUUCCCUCCAGUUUUCAGUGUGAACAAAGUGGACCGCAAGCUCCAGACUUGAGAGUAGCUGCUGGUUUAAUAACCCGCUCCCAGCCCCAAUUCCUGUUUAGACUGGUGACUAAAUUGUUGGUCAGGCUACUCGGUAUGCAUUGGAGAGCAUUAGUUAAAGGUUUUCUGCUACACUCUCUUUGAAUUUACAAUUAAGUUUGAAAUGAGAGCCUAAUGAAAAGGCUGACAAAAUGCAUGCUUUUAUAUUCUACCCAGUUUAUAAUCCCUAUUCCCACCUCUGGACCAUCAUUUGAUGUAAUCUGAGCUGCAGAAGGAUCUUGUACUGGAGCUCAAGUGCUUUAUUUAAAAUAAUAAAAAAGGAAUCUGCUGUCUGGCUGGUUAGACAGGCCAGAAUGUUUUGUAUAUCUAGGCCUGUGGGGCUGCUGGGAAGCUUUUCCCCAAGCAUCGCCUUAUCCUAAGCUAAUAAAAACAAUGGUUGAAAGCAUAGAUUGUCCAGAAGAAAUGCCUGAGGAGAAAAAUUCUGCAGGAAGUGGAGUUUUCAUUAUGUACCGUGAUACCUGUCAAGGAGAUCUGUUCCCGAAAAACUUUGACUGUUACUUACUCGUGUCUAGUAUCACUGCAAAACAGCAAUACUUUCGUCACUGAAUUUCAUGGUUUUUAAGAAGUUUCAUUCUGUGCUGAAUACGUACAUGCUAAUGGUUUGAUAAAUUGUGAAUACUUCACUUUCUUUUAGGGUGAAAUAGUUUCUGUUGGACAUCUGUACUGCAAGAUGGAGUCCUUAUUGUGUGCUGCCAAAAGUCAGAAUAGUUGUAGUUAACAAAUAAGCAAAUAUUUUUCAUAACUGUAUUGAAACAGUAUUUAUAUAACCUGGGACUAUUGCACACGUUAAUUUGUUUGUUCUAGAAAGCAAAGUGUAUACUGUUUGUUCAUUUUGUGUUGAGAAUUUAUCAGCUUGUGCAAGUUAUCUGAAGUUAGACAUAGAUUAAUUAGUAGUGAGGGUUUAACUGUAAAAAUCCUCCUUUGAAUGUUUAUUUUGCAUAAGUGCAGUUGUUCAGCUAGCAACUUUCUUUGAAAUGUGUAAUGUACUUCCAUUUUACUUAAAGAUUUUGUGAAAGAAGAGUAGCUUGAGGAUUAAAAGGAUUUGGUAGGAAUGGAUAUGGAUAAUUCCUAUCUUUGUACAUUUAAAUUAGGCUGUACAAUUAUUUCCAUUUCAUGUUUCUCAUAGAUCUCUGGUUCUGCAUAAAGAGAAAAGGAAAAACAUUUGUCAGUUUGGUAACAUCUCUAGGAGGUGCUGUUACUGUUCCAAAAGGCUACUGUAACUGUAAGAUUUCCUGCAGGUUCUGACAGCUCAGCAUAAUGUCCUGGUCGCUUGAAGUGACAUCCAUGGUACAGCCAUCCGUGGUCUUCAGCUUUUGUCAAGGUAGCAAACAAACCCCUUAGGGAUCUCAGCAGAGAGCUCUCUAAUCUCUUCCUGACUUCUGGAUACUCAGGCAAAAAACCCUGUCUUCUGAAUGUGAAAUAUACUGUGACAACCCUCCAGCUUAAAUUUUAUCAGUAUAAAAGAUAUCUUUAUGGAAUGUUGUGUAUGAAAAAACAAAAUGAUAUGUUGCAUUAUAUAUUGUUAGCACACAAAAGCGUACCAAUUCAUGUCAAGAAUGCACAGCAGAUAUAUAUUUAACAUGCAUCUUUUAGUUCAUUACUUAUGGCAUGACAGAUUUUAGACGUUAUGUGAAAUCUGAUUUUAAAAUAAUGGACUGUAAAAAGAAAAUCAGGUAUCCAAAAUAUUCACUGCUAUUUCUGUUUUGUAAGCUUAAACUGGAUGAACUGAUUUUAAAAAAGAGUGUGGCUACAGGAUUUAACAAUGGAAAUUUAUGCUGAAUUGAUCGGUUGUCCCAGCCGAAAUGGAGUUUGAAGCAGAAACAUUAACAGAUCCUGCACCAGCUUAAAUAUUAAGGCAAGUCCAAUACAGCACUGAAGUAAAAAGCAUAGCAACAAAGGACAAGGUAGUUUACAGUUGACUGUAGCUUGUUUUUCCCUUUUCUGGCUAUGGAUGAAGGGUAAGUUCCUAGAAGGCACUACAACCAUGCGGUUAGGCUGCAGAGAAAAUAAAGCUCUUGUGCAGGGUGGAAUUUCUUUUUCUGCCCAUUGGGAGAAGAAAUUCUUCAUUGAAUGUGUUGGAGUCAUAUAUUGAAAGAGUAGCCUUUAGGCUGUGCUACUGUAGAGUGGUACUGCAGCUGCCCACUGAUCUGUGCAGAAGGAUCCUUUCCUUUUUGCAUGACACUUGAUUUGUCCUUUCAUUCUGGUUAGCCCUACAGCAUGGUGCACAUCUUUAAGAUUUAUCACUAUAUAGGGUUAUUAUACAUACAGCAGAAGGGUAUUUAUAUACUGUGUUCAUUUGAUGCCAUAUUUACCUAUCAAUAUAUGUUGACAUUCAUUUGCUUCAUGUAUCUAUCAUGUUUCACUGAGGAUCUUAACCUAAUGUGUAUGUACAUCACUGUAUUAAGCCAUGCAAUGUUCUUCAGACCAAGGCAAGCACCAUUUCUGUUUUACAUAGUGAUAAAUGCUGGUACCUGAAAUGUAGGAUGAUUAGGGUAGAGUCACUUCUAGAACCAGAAAGAAAUACAGGAGUUUUAAUUACCCUUGCUCAAUUUACCACAUGGCUACAGCUUGUCAGUCGCAAUAAUAUUAUGGAUUAUGUGUCAUCAACUUGUUUUUGUUCAGGUUUUCAUGCACGCCAUAUCAUGCAUCUUUAGAAAUUGUCUUUUUAUAUUGGUUCUUUUGUUUGGCACAGUGCCACCUAGCUGCACUCUUCCCUCAACAGUUCUGUAGUUGGUAUGCUGAUUGUGACCAAGAUGAAACAUUUGACAGGUAAGAUUUACUUGGGUUCACCUGAAAUAUUAUUCAGUAGUCAAGUUGCUGAUGGGAAGAAGGGACAAAAAUAGAAGAACCUUAUUACUAUCACAAUUCAUACAGUGACAGUUGACUUAUCCAUGUAAUUUUGAAGCAAAUGCUGGUAUGAACAUUAUUUUUAGUCUGAAAAUAUCUGAUAGGAAAGCUUGCAACAUUAGUGGAAAAGUCAGGAUUGCCCAGGCACGUUUUAAUAGCUAGGCAUUCAGGAGAAGAAACAAGGAAAAAAUGUAAAUACGUAGGAUGCAGAUUUACUGAAUGUUUGUUUGGAGGGAAUGAAAGCUGAGCAUUACAGCAAUUCCCUGUUUAGGAAAUAAAAUCCAUGUGUUAAAGUGAAGAUGUGGAAAUAAACUAUGUGAAGAGAACCUUCUAUUAUUUUGAGUUGAGGUGGAUGUGACAGGGAAUUACAGCCAGGCUGCAAAAGCAUUAAAUGGGUAUUUCACCAACAUAAGAAUUGAGCACUUUAAACAAUACUUUAAAUGAUGCUUUUUAACUCUUUAACAUUUACUGGUUUGUUGCCUUAUCCUUGUAGGUCUCACGUAAAGCCAAAAGAAGAAAGAAGAGAACGCGUAAGCUAGGUCUAAAGGUACAUGAAGAACGGUAAGGCAUUAGAUGAUGAAUAAUACUUUUUAUCAGAAAGACUAAUAUUUGAAAACAGACAAGAGCUCUCAUUUUGGCUCAUCAGUCUUUUUUCUCAAGCUGUAUCUAACUGCACAUUCAAAGUUUUUCUUACUUGUACAGCUACGAUACAGGUUCUUAAGAACUGUACCACAUGGGAGUGUGGCAGCAAGGCAGGUCAAAUCACCUGUAGCAUUCCUUUAGUCGGGUAUUUAUAUUGUAGUCUUAACUGUGCCUUCUGCUGAUCAAUAAAUCAUUGCAACAGGUCUCUGAACUGAUUUGUCCUGAUUUUACAUGCACAGAAAGCCACAUAGUAGGUUUGAACCCAAAUGGCAAGUGAGCUCAAUUGUUUCUCAGAAGGACUGAAAGAAGGAUGUGAAUUUUGGAAGGAUAUGUUGUGUUGGAUGAACCCUUUCACUGUUUCCUGAAUUGCGUAUUCUUGGGACUCUACUUUCUCACCUCACAAAAGUAAUCAAUAGCUACUUCUUCCAUAUAUAGCACGUGUCAGAGCUGAACAUUUAAAAAUGCAUUAUUGUGCAUUAUAGCACAGUGAUAAGUCCAGAGAGUGCUACAUUCUGUGGCGCUUGUCAGUGGGACUUUGAAGAAGGUCUCCAAAAUAUUGUUCAUUUAAUGCAACAAAGUUCAGGAGUCCUGUGGAAAGUCAAUACCUCCACAUCUGUGAGGAAGUGAACUCCAGUUCAUAGAGGGCUGCAGGUGGGUUUUUUUUCCUUAACACUUGUAAAACAUAAAACCUUUGAAUAUGUGUGCGCGUGGAGGCACAUGAUCUGUUUCUGUGUCCUCUAUGUGCUGUGGUGAUCUGCAUUCUUCUCUGGGUAAAAGACAAGAGUUGAUACAUACCACGUGCAAGCAUAGAAUAAUUUCUUAAUUUAGCAGUUUGUGUAGAAAUUCUGUCCAAUCCUUUCAUCCUUCCUUCUCUCACUGUGUCUGUGUGGCAAACACCCUGGGGUUCCUGUGGUUUUUGAAGUGUAUUUACAUGAUACUGUAUAGUGAGUGAUUGCAUUGUUUUGUAGUUGUCUGAAGGAGGUCACAAUAAUGGAUUUUUUUUUCUUUUUUUGUAGUGGUUGUAAUAGUUUCAGUCACUUUGGGAUGAGCUGCCAUGCAAAAUAAAUGUAUCUAAGAAGCACAGAAUUGUAACAAAUUGUCAAAAGGCUUUAAAUAUGGUGUAAUACCUUGUUUUCCUGUAAAUUCCUCUCUAGAAGGGGGGAGGGGUCUGUAUUUUUAUUUCUGUCUGUGUAUUUGGCCUCUGAGGUGUAAGCACAGACAGAGCAGAUUUCUUUGCAGAGAGGGAAGUCAAGAAUCUUCCGUUAGGAAGACCAAAAGAUUUCAAACAUCUCUAUCAUCUUGAUAGCAGUGCUUUUCCUGUUCCUGACUAGGACUUCGGAAAAAUCAAGCAGGAAAUACCUUAUCGGACUCCAUUUUUCUACAAGUUUCUGAAAACUAUUUGCAUCUUUCCUCGGGCAAAAUUAAUCAAUAAAGCUUUUUAGUACAUACUUAACCAGAAUA
Falco peregrinus (peregrine falcon) is the source of this 5328-nucleotide long non-coding RNA. RefSeq lists it as uncharacterized. NCBI's taxonomy places the organism in Eukaryota, Metazoa, Chordata, Aves, Falconiformes, Falconidae. The transcript is spliced from 2 exons. The record is from RefSeq and is a predicted model, not a curated record.